UACGGUCAAAAUGACAUUGAAUCACCGGUUUCCGUGUGAUCACCCAAGUUAAGCAACAUUGAGCCUGGUCAGUAACGAGGUGGGUCUCCGCUUGGAAAUACAACAUGCUGUAU
Molecule: non-coding RNA, 113 nt
Organism: Acanthosepion pharaonis
Lineage: Eukaryota; Metazoa; Mollusca; Cephalopoda; Sepiida; Sepiidae
Source: the annotation of a GenBank genome assembly